AUUGAACGCUGGCGGCACGCUUAACACAUGCAAGUCGAACGGCAGCAUGUUUUGUAGCAAUCUAAAAUGAUGGCGAGAGGCGGACGGGUGAGAAACGCGUAGGAAUCUACCCUAAAGAGCGGGUCAACCCGAGGACACUCGGGCUAAUACCGCAUAUCACUCUCUGGAGGCAAGGCUGGGGCAACCUGGCGCGUUAGGAGGAGCCUGCGUCCGAUGAGCUAGUUGGUUAGGUAAAGGCUGACCAAGGCGAUGAUCGGUAGCUGGUCUGAGAGGAUGAUCAGCCACACUGGGACUGAGACACGGCCCAGACUCCUACAGGAGGCAGCAGGGGGGAAUAUUGGACAAUGGGGGCAACCCUGAUCCAGCAAUGCCGCGUGUGUGAAGAAGGCCUUCGGGUUGUAAAGCACUUUAGUUGGGGAAGAAGGUAUAUUGUUUAAGAGAUGAUACAUUUGACUGUACCCAAAGAAUAAGCACCGGCUAACUCUGUGCCAGCCGCCGCCGUAA
Molecule: ribosomal RNA, 504 nt
Filed under: uncultured bacterium
Lineage: Bacteria
Description: partial 16S ribosomal RNA
Rfam family: Bacterial small subunit ribosomal RNA
Source: RNAcentral